GGGCAGGAAUCAUAUAGCCUACUAACGCCUUUGAUAGGAAUCGGUGUUGUACCGGCUUGUGUGAGCGCCUCCCUUAAACUCACGCUUACAACACACAAAACACAAGUUUGGACAAUAUUUACGAUCUACGACUCUCACCGCUGACCGUAUGGAGAUGUGAUUCAUUCCCCCAUCCAGUCUGACCGAUCUGUUGUUUUAAGUCUGCUGUGAAGACGGAGCGUAAGCGAAUUUUCAACGGCAUGCCGAGGAAUUAAGCAGCCGGGUGAUCGGAGCGUCGAGGGCUGGAUCGCUCAGAAAUCCAAUCCGCGGAUUGAGGCCUAAAUUCCCGAAGCGGAUACAUGGUUGUGUUUAUCAGUUGACAUGAGAAGAGAAGAUACUAAACCGAGUCGGGACGGUUUUGCUGCCGAUCGUUUGAGACAGGCCCUCCUCCAGCCCUGAAUCCAGCAUGACGGAGGUCCAGGCCACAGUGGAGUUCUCUGUGGAGCUCCACAAGUUCUAUAAUGUGGAUCUCUUCCAAA
Molecule: long non-coding RNA, 518 nt
Organism: Sinocyclocheilus grahami
Lineage: Eukaryota; Metazoa; Chordata; Actinopteri; Cypriniformes; Cyprinidae
Exons: 3
Source: RefSeq, a predicted model, not a curated record